CCAGGUUAAUCCGAGUGUCUCCUGCUAAAGGAGUCUUUUGUCAGUUGUAGAAUCACUGGUGAAUAAGGGCUGGCCAAGUUCUGGUGUCAGCCGCCGCGGUAAAACCAGCACCUCGAGUGGUCAGGAGGUUUAUUGGGCCCAAAGCAUCCGUAGCCGGUUGCAUAAGUUUUCGGUUAAAUCUAUGCGCUUAACGUAUAGGCCGCCGAAAAUACUGUGCAGCUAGGGAGUGGGAGAGGUACACGGUACUUGAUAGGAAGGGGUAAUAUCCUUUGAUCUAUUGAAGACCACCUGUGGCGAAUGGCGGUGUACCAGAACACGUUCGACGGUGAGGGAUGAAAGCUCGGGGGAGCAAACCGGAUUAGAUACGCGGUUAGUCCCAGCGUAAACGAGCAAUCGAUGAGCAUUGGCUGCGCCAAUGCAUCGCAGGGAACCGUUAGUUUGCCGCCUGGGAGUACGUACGCAAUAGAAUAAGGAUGGCGGGGGAGCACCACAG
RNAcentral lists this ribosomal RNA (493 nucleotides) under uncultured archaeon. Its description in RNAcentral is "bacterial SSU rRNA". It matches the Rfam family "Archaeal small subunit ribosomal RNA", at positions 371 to 884 of the family's 1478-position model. The record is from RNAcentral.